RNAcentral lists this long non-coding RNA (236 nucleotides) under Elaeis guineensis (African oil palm). RNAcentral's name for it is "long non-coding RNA (EGUI_LNC058606)". The record is from RNAcentral. Lineage: Eukaryota; Viridiplantae; Streptophyta; Magnoliopsida; Arecales; Arecaceae.
AUGGUUUGAGCCCGAUUCGCUAGAGUUAAUCUGUUUGGACCAAUUGAUCUAUUGGUGUCUAAGAUAAGUUAAUGAGAUAUGGUUAUUUAAUUGGUUUUGUUUGCUUAUCUGGCCAAUUUAUUAGUGUCUAAGGAAAGCAAUGGGGGAACCCCCACUGAUCUCCACUUAUCUGGCCAAUUUGGAAGAUUGGGUCUUAAAUUGAGUUGCUUAGCAGUUUGGUUUAGCCCAUGCCAAUU